This 107-nucleotide small nucleolar RNA is filed under the name Gossypium hirsutum (cotton). RNAcentral describes it as "Plant small nucleolar RNA R71". It matches the Rfam family "Plant small nucleolar RNA R71". From Rfam's summary of the family: R71 is a member of the C/D box family of snoRNAs containing the C (UGAUGA) and D (CUGA) box motifs. Multiple nearly identical copies of this snoRNA have been identified in Arabidopsis, and it is thought to function as a 2'-O-ribose methylation guide for 18S ribosomal RNA. The record is from Rfam by way of RNAcentral. Lineage: Eukaryota; Viridiplantae; Streptophyta; Magnoliopsida; Malvales; Malvaceae.
AACCCAUGGUGAGGGCACCUUCUCAAUAAGUCCUUGUAUCUCUCCCAUCCAUCGUAAAGAGUUUCUAAGUCCAUCUGCACAAACGAAGAGAUAUGAUUACGUAAUUU